ACACAGUGGUGUUAGAAAUUAUGAGUGUCUGGAAUGUGGAAAGAAAUUCACCCAAAAGUGUAGCCUCACCACACACACCCUGACACACAGUGGUGUUAGAAAUUAUGAGUGUCUGGAAUGUGGAAAUAAAUUCACCACAAAGUCUGAUCUCACCAGACACACUCUGACACACCGUGGUGUUAGAAAUUAUGAGUGUCUGGAAUGUGGAAAGAAAUUCACCACAAAGAGUAACCUCACCACACACACCCUGAGACACAGUGGUGUUAGAAAUUAUGAGUGUCUGGAAUGUGGAAAGAAAUUCACCACAAAGUCUGAUCUCACCACACACACCCUGACACACAGUGGUGUUAGAAAUUAUGAGUGUGAGGAGUGUGGCAAGAAAUUCUUCACCAUUAAUGCUCUCAACAGACACGCCUUCAGACACACUGGCUUGAGGGAGUUCAAGUGUGAUGUUUGUGGCAAGUGUUUCAAGACUAAGGGUGACAUUGCCAAGCACAUGAAGAUCCACUUUUGAGGUGGUGUGUUGUGUGGACCGGUGUGGCCACACCCGUGCCUGUGGGAGUGUGUGGUGGUGGUGGUGGUGGUGGUGGUGGUUUUUCUCUUUUCUUUCUUCUCUCGCGUUGCCUCACCCCGACCUUGGCCUGACCUUCCAGCCUUUGGUCCUCGGCACAGCCAGGUGAAGCACGCCUUCAGUGGGAACCGGUCUGUCUCCCGAGGGUGUCACCAAGGCUCUCCAUCUCCAGCAGGACGUGGCGGGGGUCAAGAUGGCAGGCAAGCAAGACGUUGGUGUGUGUUGGAUGCCUGCGUGACUCCAUGCUACGCUGGCCUGCCACACCACAGGAUACAUUGAUGAUAGUGUCACCUCAGCACACACUACACUGUUGUCAUGUGUGGCAGUGCCUGUAAGGACACCACACCCCUGUGGUCUGUUAUUGUAAGGAGUGUGUUUGUUGUAUACUGGGAUACAAGGUAGAAGGAAGCAGUGUA
This is a long non-coding RNA of Portunus trituberculatus (swimming crab), 987 nucleotides long. RefSeq lists it as uncharacterized. The record is from RefSeq and is a predicted model, not a curated record. The transcript has 2 exons. Lineage: Eukaryota; Metazoa; Arthropoda; Malacostraca; Decapoda; Portunidae.